GUGCAGCAGGCGCGAAAACUUCACACUGUGCGAAAGCACGAUGAGGGAAUCCCAAGUGCUGCACGUAAGUGUAAGCUGUUUCUCUGUCUAAAACGCAGAGAGAGUAAGGGCUGGGUAAGACGGGUGCCAGCCGCCGCGGUAAUACCUGCAGCUCAAGUGGUGACCGUUAUUAUUGGGCCUAAAACGUCCGUAGCCGGUUUAAUAAAUGCCUGGGUAAAUUGUGUAGCUUAACUAUACGAAUUCCGGGUAGACUGUUAAACUUGAGACCGGGAGAAGUUAGAGGUACUCCUGGGGUAGAGGUGAAAUUCUGUAAUCCUAGGGGGACCACCAGUGGCGAAGGCGUCUAACUAGAACGGGUCUGACGGUGAGGGACGAAGCCCUGGGGCGCAAAC
Molecule: ribosomal RNA, 392 nt
Filed under: uncultured microorganism
Description: bacterial SSU rRNA
Rfam family: Archaeal small subunit ribosomal RNA
Source: RNAcentral